GAUGAACGCUAGCGGAAGGCUUAAUACAUGCAAGUCGAGCGGUAGGUGGCUUCGGCCAUUGAGAGCGGCGCACGGGUGAGUAACGCGUACAUGACCUGCCUGUCAGAAGGGGAUAGCCCUGGGAAACUGGGAUUAAUACCCUAUGGUAUUGAUAUUAUGAAUGAUAUCAAUUAAAGUUGAGGCGCUGACAGAUGGAUGUGCGUCUGAUUAGCUAGUUGGUAGGGUAACGGCCUACCAAGGCGACGAUCAGUAGGGGGCGUGAGAGCGUGGUCCCCCACACGGGUACUGAGACACGGACCCGACUCCUACGGGAGGCAGCAGUAAGGAAUAUUGGUCAAUGCCCGCAAGGGUGAACCAGCCAUUCCGCGUGGAGGAUGAAGGCCCUAUGGGUUGUAAACUUCUUUUAGAUGGGAAGAAAUGCUAGAUGUAUCUGGUACUGACGGUACCAUCAGAAUAAGCACCGGCUAACUCCGUGCCAGCAGC
This 483-nucleotide ribosomal RNA is filed under the name uncultured bacterium. RNAcentral's name for it is "bacterial SSU rRNA". It matches the Rfam family "Bacterial small subunit ribosomal RNA", at positions 28 to 515 of the family's 1533-position model. The record is from RNAcentral.